AAAGUCGUAACAAGGUUUCCGUAGGUGAACCUGCGGAAGGAUCAUUAAAAAAGAUUAGGUCUGAUUCUUCAUUCCAAUCUCCACCCUGUGUAUUUGUCCUUUGUACGCUUCCGUCCGGCGUGGGUCUUCGGAUCCCCUCCUGUCUGGCCCAAUCGUGGCUGGAUUGGGAGUGCCUGGACGGGAGCCAUUAGCAAACUCCAUAUUUAGUUGUACGUAAUGUCUGAAAAUGUUGCAAAGCAAUAUUUAAAACUUUCAACAACGGAUCUCUUGGUUCUC
This 276-nucleotide unclassified non-coding RNA is filed under the name Ascomycota sp. RNAcentral's name for it is "partial contains small subunit ribosomal RNA, internal transcribed spacer 1, and 5.8S ribosomal RNA". The stretch from base 1 to 47 matches the Rfam family "Eukaryotic small subunit ribosomal RNA", at positions 1785 to 1831 of the family's 1831-position model. The record is from RNAcentral. Lineage: Eukaryota; Fungi; Ascomycota.